This 604-nucleotide ribosomal RNA is filed under the name uncultured Bacteroidota bacterium. RNAcentral describes it as "bacterial SSU rRNA". It matches the Rfam family "Bacterial small subunit ribosomal RNA", at positions 316 to 916 of the family's 1533-position model. The record is from RNAcentral. Lineage: Bacteria; Pseudomonadati; Bacteroidota.
GUACUGAGACACGGACCAGACUCCUACGGGAGGCAGCAGUGAGGAAUAUUGGACAAUGGGAGCAAUCCUGAUCCAGCCAUGCCGCGUGCAGGAAGACUGCCCUAUGGGUUGUAAACUGCUUUUAUACAGGAAGAAAAAGGUGUACGUGUACACUGUUGACGGUACUGUAAGAAUAAGGAUCGGCUAACUCCGUGCCAGCAGCCGCGGUAAUACGGAGGAUCCAAGCGUUAUCCGGAAUCAUUGGGUUUAAAGGGUCCGUAGGCGGGACAAUAAGUCAGUGGUGAAAGUCUGCAGCUCAACUGUAGAAUUGCCAUUGAUACUGUUGUUCUUGAGUGCUUGUGAAGUGGUUAGAAUGAGUAGUGUAGCGGUGAAAUGCAUAGAUAUUACUCAGAAUACCGAUUGCGAAGGCAGAUCACUAACAAUUCACUGACGCUGAUGGACGAAAGCGUAGGUAGCGAACAGGAUUAGAUACCCUGGUAGUCUACGCCGUAAACGGUGGUUACUAGCUGUUCGGACCAAUUGAGGUCUGAGUGGCUAAGCGAAAGUAAUAAGUAACCCACCUGGGGAGUACGUUCGCAAGAAUGAAACUCAAAGGAAUUGACGG